RNAcentral lists this ribosomal RNA (311 nucleotides) under uncultured Pseudomonadota bacterium. RNAcentral's name for it is "bacterial SSU rRNA". It matches the Rfam family "Bacterial small subunit ribosomal RNA", at positions 145 to 456 of the family's 1533-position model. Lineage: Bacteria; Pseudomonadati; Pseudomonadota. The record is from RNAcentral.
AACUAGAGGAAACUCGAGCUAAUACCGCAUACGCCCCAAGGGGGAAAGCGGGGGAUCUUUCGGGACCUCGCGCUAAUAGAUGAGCCUAAGCCGGAUUAGCUUGUUGGUGGGGUAAAAGCCUACCAAGGCGACGAUCCGUAGCUGGUCUGAGAGGACGAUCAGCCACACUGGGACUGAGACACGGCCCAGACUCUUACGGGAGGCAGCAGUAGGGAAUAUUGCACAAUGGGCGAAAGCCUGAUGCAGCAAUUCUGCGUGUGUGAAGAAGGCCUUAGGGUUGUAAAGCACUUUCAAUAGUGAAGAAAAGCACA